CUGGUCUUGAACUCCUGACCUCAGUUGAUCCGCCCGCCUUGGCCUCCCAAAGUGCUGGGAUUACAGGCGUGAGCCACCAUGCCUGGCCAUAAUUUUUGUAUUUUUAGUAGAGAUGGGGUUUCACCAUAUUGGCCAGGCUGGUCUUGAACUCCUGACCUCAGUUGAUCCACCCACCUUGGCCUCCCAAAGUGCUGGGAUUACAGGCGUGAGCUACUUCACCUGGCUUUCUUUUUCUUUUUCUUUUUUUUAAGAGCUCUCGCUGUGUUGCUCAGGCUGGAGUGCAGUGGCUAUUCACAGGUGCAAUCAUAGUGCACUGCUCCUUUGAAGUACUUGUUAAUGUUUGCUAUUCUUUAAUCAUGAUGAAAGAGAUGGAGGGAGGUGGAAAGUCAGUAGAUUAGAUAUAAAUGAACUGACCUUAUUCUCCUCUUUUAGCUCCUCUUCAUAAAUUGCUUUGUAGACAUAACAAAUGUUAUAUAAAAAUAGUUGGAGGGGCUGGGUGUGGUGGCUCAUGCCUGUAAUCCCAGCACUUUGGGACACUGAUGGGGGCAGAUUACGAGGUCAGGAGUUCGAGACCAGCCUGACCAACCUGGUGAAAGCCUAUCUCUAUGAAAAAUACAAAAUUUAGCUGGAGGUGGUGGCACGUGUCUGUAAUCCCAGCCACUCAGGAGGCUGAGGCAGGAGAAUUGCUUGAACCUGGGAGGCAGAGGUUGCGGUGAGCCGAGAUCAUGCCAUUGCACUCCAGCCUGAAUGACGGCAAGACGCUGUCUCCAAAAAAGAAACAAAAAUGGUUGGAGGAAGCAAACACCCAUGAUUUUAAAGCCCUCUCCCAAGCAAAUCAUGUGCAUAUGCAAUUCUUGUUUCAACAUAAUGUAAAACACUUCAUAGUGAGAGACAAAAUGAAUGCACGAUUCUCUAGCAAGGCCAGUAUUCUUCAAUCAGCUUUGAGAACCUACAUUUCUUAUUUUGGUAAACUACUGUCAUGUUUCCUCAAUUGUGUUAAUUGAUCUACCAGGAAGAAGACAAAAAUGAGUUUCUAGUACCUUUAUUAAGAAACCCUGUUAAGAUUGGAAGGCUGAUGGAACCUGGGUCUGGACCAGAUCCGUGAGAUCAGAGUGGUUUAACAGCUUUUAUGGUCUGUUUUUGCUGAUUCUUACUUUUCUGUUUGUGCCUAGAAGUCUGGAACGUUUUUUCUUAGAGUUCCAGAAUUGAGACUGAAGUGUACCCAGAGACACAAAGAAAUACAGAAGUCCAGAAUGAUCAAAUGAGAUCACUACCCAAUGAAAUGAUGGGCCGAGGAGCCAGAAGUUGUCCUACUACCUGCUUUCCAGGUCCAGAUUCCACGAGAGCCUUCUGGGCUCCCACCAGAGACCCUCAGUGAAGACUCUGUUGAAGACUUUAAGACCAUGCUAGAAAGCCUCCCGGCAGAGGUUCAGGAAGUUCUGCUAUGAGGAUGCAGCUGGCCCCAGGGAUGUCCUCAGGCAUCUCUAGGACCUUGCUGGACGGUGGUGGCUGAGACCUGAUAUCCACACAAAGGAGCAGACUGUGGAAAUGCUGGUGCAGGAGCAAUUCCAGGCUGUCCUGCCCGAGGAGCUCAGAGCUCAAGCACAGAGAUGUCAGCCUGGAAUCAGAAUCACUGGCUAAGUCUUGCUGCUUGCUUCUUGCUCAGCCUGCAUAUGAGAAGUCAACCAAGCAUUCUCUUGGAUGCAAGAUCCAACUGCACCCAUGGGAAAUCUGAACUUCCACUUUCUUUGAGCUUGUCUUUGGUUGUAAUAAGAAUCCAUCAAAACCCAUGUCUGGAUCUCUCUUUGGCUGAGGCAGCUUUAUUUCCUACAGAAAGAGUUUCUCUGUCCUCUUGUUAGGACAAUCAGCCUGCUGCUUUGGGCUUUUCCAAGAGCCUAUUUUUCAUCUGCUGGAUGCCUCUUUUUUUUUUUUUUUUUUUUUUUGCACUGUGUGACAUGCUUUAAUAUAUAUAUUUUUUAUGUAUCCAAAGAGGUAAUCAACUUUAACUUUCAGAAUUCAUGAAUCUUGGUUUGGUGGCAUGAAUGAAAGGUUAUGUAACCCCACCAGUAACUCAUUUGGGGUGCCCUUGAAAUAUUAAAGUUUGGUCCUCAAUAAAUAUGUGCUGUGGUGAUUAAUCAGGUUAGCGCUUAGUAGUCAGCAAUUGGAGACAGGUGAGAUAAUUAUCAGGUGUAGAUGAGAGCUAGCGAUAAGAACUAUGGCUGUGGUGUUUAUUGUGCUGGGAAAUAGGAACAGUCCUGGCCUUUGUAUUCAAAGUCAAGAUUUAGAUUGGACAGAACUGAGAAA
This 2304-nucleotide long non-coding RNA is filed under the name Homo sapiens (human). Its description in RNAcentral is "HSALNT0290686". The record is from RNAcentral. Lineage: Eukaryota; Metazoa; Chordata; Mammalia; Primates; Hominidae.